Molecule: ribosomal RNA, 433 nt
Filed under: uncultured bacterium
Lineage: Bacteria
Description: partial 16S ribosomal RNA
Rfam family: Bacterial small subunit ribosomal RNA
Source: RNAcentral
AACGAACGCUGGCGGCAUGCCUAAUACAUGCAAGUCGAACGAGAUCUUCGGAUCUAGUGGCGCACGGGUGCGUAACGCGUGGGAAUCUGCCCUUGGGUUCGGAAUAACUUCUGGAAACGGAAGCUAAUACCGGAUGAUGACGUAAGUCCAAAGAUUUAUCGCCCAAGGAUGAGCCCGCGUAGGAUUAGGUAGUUGGUGAGGUAAAGGCUCACCAAGCCGACGAUCCUUAGCUGGUCUGAGAGGAUGAUCAGCCACACUGGGACUGAGACACGGCCCAGACUCCUACGGGAGGCAGCAGUAGGGAAUACUGGACAAUGGGCGAAAGCCUGAUCCAGCAAUGCCGCGUGAGUGAUGAAGGCCUUAGGGUUGUAAAGCUCUUUUACCCGGGAUGAUAAUGACAGUACCGGGAGAAUAAGCUCCGGCUAACUCCGUG